GGCUUUGUCCCUCCCUCUCUCACUGCCGGAAUAUAUUGCUUGUGGGACGGUGAGGGACAUCUUUAAUCUCCCCACCGACCUCGGAUAGUGCCAGCCCUGCAAAGACCGGCAGGGGAGAUUCUGUGAUCUCCCUGCCGGCCUUGGGCCAUGGCCACCGCGGCCCACCGGGCAUUUGCCCGGUGUGCCUGAUGACCAGUGUGG
Pelobates cultripes (western spadefoot toad) is the source of this 201-nucleotide non-coding RNA. The record is from the annotation of a GenBank genome assembly. Lineage: Eukaryota; Metazoa; Chordata; Amphibia; Anura; Pelobatidae.